AGUGAACGCUGGCGGUAGGCCUAACACAUACAAGUCGAACGGCAGCACAGUAAGAGCUUGCUCUUACGGGUGGCGAGUGGCGGACGGGUGAGGAAUACAUCGGAAUCUACUUUUUCGUGGGGGAUAACGUAGGGAAACUUACGCUAAUACCGCAUACGACCUACGGGUGAAAGCAGGGGAUCUUCGGACCUUGCGCGAUUGGAUGAGCCGAUGUCGGAUUAGCUAGUUGGCGGGGUAAAGGCCCACCAAGGCGACGAUCCGUAGCUGGUCUGAGAGGAUGAUCAGCCACACUGGAACUGAGACACGGUCCAGACUCCUACGGGAGGCAGCAGUGGGGAAUAUUGGACAAUGGGCGCAAGCCUGAUCCAGCCAUACCGCGUGGGUGAAGAAGGCCUUCGGGUUGUAAAGCCCUUUUGUUGGGAAAGAAAAGCAGCAGGUUAAUACCCCGCUGUUCUGACGGUACCCAAAGAAUAAGCACCGGCUAACUUCGUG
RNAcentral lists this ribosomal RNA (492 nucleotides) under uncultured bacterium. Its description in RNAcentral is "partial 16S ribosomal RNA". It matches the Rfam family "Bacterial small subunit ribosomal RNA", at positions 29 to 507 of the family's 1533-position model. The record is from RNAcentral.